GCUCUUUAGGUAAGGAAGAAUAAUUAAUACUUUAUACCUGUUGACCGGGACGUUACUUACCGAAUAAGGACCGGCUAACUCCCUGCCAGCCCCCGCGUUAAUACGGAUGGUCGGAGCGUUAAUCCGAAUUACUGGGCGUAAAGCUUGCGUAUGAAGUAUGCUAACUUGGGUGGGAAAUCCCCGGGCUUAAUCUGGUAACUGCAUUCAAAACUUGCAUACUGAAUUACUGAAGAAGCGAGGAAAAGUCAUGGUGUAACGAGGAAAUGC
This 267-nucleotide ribosomal RNA is filed under the name uncultured Gammaproteobacteria bacterium. Its description in RNAcentral is "partial 16S ribosomal RNA". It matches the Rfam family "Bacterial small subunit ribosomal RNA", at positions 430 to 689 of the family's 1533-position model. The record is from RNAcentral. Lineage: Bacteria; Pseudomonadati; Pseudomonadota; Gammaproteobacteria.